RNA transcript from Girardinichthys multiradiatus, 2349 nucleotides. It is a transcript of the gene named KH domain containing, RNA binding, signal transduction associated 1a, with no coding region annotated. The transcript is spliced from 11 exons. The record is from RefSeq and is a predicted model, not a curated record. Lineage: Eukaryota; Metazoa; Chordata; Actinopteri; Cyprinodontiformes; Goodeidae.
CCUUUCCUCUCAAAUGCUGCUGCGCCAUCCCUCCUUUGUCUGCUGAGGAGAGAGACACCGGCCGGUAUCGCAGCUCCUCUGCCCGUUGAUAUUUUCCGAACUAAAAAUAUCUUCUAAGACAACCCAAACCAAAUCAACACGGUUUAAUUUGGUUAGCGAGUGAGCUUUGAGUCCAUCGACAGCAAGAAAACCAAGCAACCGUGAGUCCGCCAUAGUCGAGCAUUAGCAAAGAAAGAAAAUCAAAAUGGAAGACAAAAAAUACCUCCCGGAGCUGCUGGCCGAGAAGGACAGCUUGGAUUCAUCGUUUACACACGCCAUGAAACUCAUCACCGCAGAGAUCGAGAGGAUCCAGAAAGGUGAAGCCAAGAAGACCCCAGAGAAGGAGACAUACCUGGACCUGUUUGCCACGAAAACUAUGAAACUGAAGGAGCGAGUACUCAUUCCAACCAAGCAGUAUCCCAGGGUCAACUUUGUGGGAAAGCUUUUAGGACCACAGGGCAGCACAAUCAAGAGACUCCAGGAGGAGACAGGGGCAAAGAUCUCGGUUUUGGGGAAAGGCUCCAUGAGAGACAAGAAUAAGGAGGAAGAACUUAGGAAGGGCGGUGAGUCAAAAUAUGCUCACCUGGCCAUGGAGCUGCAUGUGUUCAUUGAGGUUACAGCACCCAUACCAGAGGCUUAUCUGCGUAUGGCUCAUGCCAUGGAUGAAGUCAAGAAGUUCCUCAUCCCAGAGCCUGGCGAGCAUGACCCUUACAUGGAUCCUCAGUUCUUGAAUGGAUCCCAGGAUGGUUCUGGAAGAGGGCGGGGUGGUCUUGGAAGGGGUAGAGGUGGACCACCUGGUGCAGGAGGACCAAGGGGACGAGGGAUGCCACGUGGAACCCUCAGAGGAGCAAUGCGUGGAGGAGCACCACGAGGUGGACCAGCAGGAGGCAACGCACCCAGAGGCGCCCCUGCUGGUAGGGGUGGGCCACCCUCUGCUCCUGCUAGAGGAGGGUCUGCUGCCCGCUCCAGGCCACCUUCAGCCGGUGCUCCAAGGAUGCUCCCUGCUGCAGCACUGUCUCAUCAAGCAGGUCCUUCAGGAUCACAGCCCAAAGCUGACGCUUAUGAUGAAUAUGGUUCAUAUGAGGAGCCUUAUGCAGAGCCUGCCUAUGAGGGAUAUGAUGGCUAUUACAGUCAGCAGCAUGCUCCUGCGGAUACUGAAUACUAUGAUUAUGGACACGGUGAAGCCCAGGAUCCAUCAUAUGAGGGCUAUGGUCAAGGUGACUGGGACAAUUCGUGGUCCAACUCUGGCGCUGGAGGCAAAGCUCCCUUAACGCGGCAGACGAAGGGAUCAUACAGGGAGCAUCCAUACGGCAGAUACUGAACAACUACCGGUAGAGAGUUGCUAUGGCAACUGUCUCCGAUUGUAACAGGCUUAACUUUUCAAAAAGUUGUCAGCACUCUUGGUGCAGUUGAUAGAUUCAGGUCCAGCGGCUCGGGCCUGUAAGGUCCAUUGAACCUGCAAGGUUUCCUUGAUGGGAUAUUUGGACCAAAUGGUGUCCAAGGGAAUUAGUCUGGUUUGAUAAUUCCCGUAUUUUACGGUUUCUAUGAAGGAAGUAUCGAAUGGCUUUUUUAAAUUAACUGGAUGUAUGUUUUAUUUUUUAUAAAUGUCUAGUUUUUUUAAUGUUUUGCAAUGCAUUUAACCACAUUUUGUAUUUAAAAAAAAAAAAAACUCAAAAUAAAAAGCUCUUUUUUUUUUUACCAGUUGUAUUUAUUUAGGUUUUUUUUUUUGUUUUUUUUAAGGAUGACCAGAUGUACAAUUUUGUAUUAUCGUUACAUAAAGUAAACGUUUUAGAGUGGUAUAGUCAAAGUCCAGUCUACUCUGAUUUGGAUUACUGUGGUAUUUUCAUGUAUUAAAACCUUCCAGUGUGGCUGAAAUUAAUCCACAGCAAUGUAAGACAAACUGUCUUACAUAAACCUCUGAUGGCAAUUGUUGCUGCCAAGGGUGGGACAACCAGGUGCUGGCCUGACUUCUUCAAUGAAGCUAUGAUUUGGAUCAUGCUGCUUGUAUUUGAUCAGGUUAUUUUAAUUAUGCCAUGCAAAAAGAAAAUUUGUGUCAGGUGAAUACUAAUUCCCUCAGCACUGUACAUAUUAACUUUCAUGGGAUUUUAAUGUGUUUUCAGUGAGGCAGCAUGUAUUUCUGGGGUUCAUAAAAUAUUUUUUAGGUUCUGAUAAUCAUGUAAUAACAGCAUGGGAAUCUGGAAAUAUUUUUGAGUUUCCAAAUUAAAUCACUUGUUCACAGAAAACCACAGGUUUGGCCCAUAAGUGUAUAAUCUGUAUUUUUAUAAUCAAAACAAUAAAAAGUUAAUUCCU